CUCUGCAGCUCAGGCUGACCUUGAGCUCACUCUGUAGCCCAGGCUGGCCUCGAACUCACAACAAUCCUCCUGCCUCAGCCUACCGAGUGCUGGGAUUACAGAAGUGCGCCACCAUGUCC
Molecule: microRNA precursor, 119 nt
Filed under: Chinchilla lanigera (long-tailed chinchilla)
Lineage: Eukaryota; Metazoa; Chordata; Mammalia; Rodentia; Chinchillidae
Description: miRNA (ENSCLAG00000021288.1)
Source: RNAcentral